This 3855-nucleotide ribosomal RNA is filed under the name Triticum aestivum (bread wheat). RNAcentral's name for it is "partial small subunit ribosomal RNA". The record is from RNAcentral. Lineage: Eukaryota; Viridiplantae; Streptophyta; Magnoliopsida; Poales; Poaceae.
AUGGGCCUCGUCGGGCCCCGGCGGGGCGUCCCCGGCGGCGCCGUCGUCUUCGCCACCGCGGUGGCCCUGAUACAGAUAGUUUUUCUUGUACAUCCCACAAGCGCACAGCAAUCACCAAGGGUGGUACCUGCAGAAGGGUACUGUUCCAUGUAUGGAAUUUGUGCAAAUCGAACUGAUGGGAAAGUCUUAAACUGUGUGAAUGCAACAAAAGCUGUUAAGCCAGAUACUUUGUUUUCCACAAGGAUCCAGAGUUUGUGCCCCACUAUUACUGGUGAUGUCUGUUGUACUGUUGAUCAGUUCGACACAUUACACCAACAAGUCCAACAGGCUGUCCCAUUUCUUGUUGGAUGCCCAGCUUGCUUGAGGAAUUUCUUGAAUCUCUUUUGUGAAAUGUCUUGUUCCCCAAACCAAAGCCUCUUCAUUAACGUGACUUCAGCAAAACAGGUUAAGAACAUUACAACUGUUGAUGGUAUAGAUUACUACAUAACAAGCAACUAUGGUGAAGAGUUAUACAACUCUUGUAAGGAAGUUAAGUUUGGCACUCUGAACACACGCGCAAUGGAUUUUCUUGGUGGAGGUGCUAAAACUUACAAAGAGUGGUUGGCAUUUCUUGGGCGUCAGGCAAAUCCCAAUGAGCCUGGGUCACCUUAUUUGAUAACAUACCGACCUGAUUUGAGUGGUUCAUCUGGGGUGAAGCCACUAAAUACUACAGUUUAUUCUUGUGGAGAUCCAUCUUUGGGCUGCUCAUGUGGGGAUUGUCCUUCUUCUUCAGUUUGCAUGGGAUCCUUGUUGCCUCAGUCGAUGACUGAAACUUCCUGUUCAGUCAAAAUGGGUUCUCUAAAGGCCGGAUGCUUGGACUUCUCACUAGCGGUUGUGUACAUUGUGUUUUUGUGUGCAAUUUUAUUGUGGGGCUUAUUAUACAGAACACGAGGAAGAACAGGCUUCCCCUCACAAACAAAACCACCAAAGAAUGCUGAUGAUAAGUUGCAUUCAAACAACAAUGGCAAUGUUCCUGAAAACUCUGUUCAGGUGCCCAAAGCUGCAUCAUCUUCUAUUGUCCAAACUUACAUGUCAACCUUCUUUAGGAGGCAUGGAGUUUUUGUUACUAGACACCCGCUUCUUGUGUUAUGUGCAUCCUUACUUGUCCCUAUCCUAUUAUGCAUUGGUCUUAUCCGUUUCAAGGUGGAAACAAGACCGGAAAAGCUUUGGGUUAGCCCUGGAAGUCAGACUGCCUAUGAAAAGCAAUAUUUUGACAGUCAUCUUGCACCAUUUUAUAGGAUUGAGCAGCUUGUAUUAGCCACUUCAGCGUCUGGCCAGCUUGAAGCUCCUACAAUAGUAAAUGAUAACAAUUUCAAAUUGCUAUUUCAGAUUCAGAAAAAGAUUGAUGAUCUGCGUGCCAAUUAUUCUGGAUCGACAGUAUCCCUUGCUGAUAUCUGCCUAAAGCCACUCAGUACAGAUUGUGCUACCCAAAGUGUUUUGCAGUAUUUCCAGCUGGAUCCUAAAAAGCAUGAUGAUUUAGGUAUAGAUCAUGCUAAAUUUUGCUUUGAGCAUUACAGUUCUGAAGAGACAUGUUUGAGCACUUUUCAAUCACCUAUUGACCCUAGUACAAUAUUAGGUGGUUUUCCAGGUAGCAAUUUUACCGAGGCUUCUGCAUUUGUAAUAACAUAUCCCGUGAACAACAAGGUUGAGACAACAGGACAAGAGAAUGGAAAGGCUAUGGCUUGGGAAAGGGCAUAUAUUAAUCUUGUUAAGGAAGAAAUACUGCCGAUGGUACUAGCACAGAACCUUACAUUAUCCUUUUCAUCCGAGAGCUCUAUUAAAGAUGAAUUAAACAGAGAGAGUACAGCUGACGCAAUUACAAUAGUGAUAAGCUAUAUUGUGAUGUUUGCGUACAUAUCAUUCACACUUGGAGACCGUCCUUCUCGUUUGUGGGCAUUAUUUGUCUCAUCAAAGGUACUGCUUGGCUUAUCUGGGGUUGUCCUAGUGAUGCUUUCAGUUUUAGGAUCAAUGGCAUUCUUUAGUGCUGUUGGAGUGAAGUCGACUUUAAUCAUAAUGGAAGUAAUUCCUUUUCUUGUGCUGGCGGUCGGUGUGGACAACAUGUGUAUCCUUGUGCAUGCUGUCAAGCGACAACCAGAUGGGAUAGUAUUGGAAGAACGUAUAAGUAAUGCAUUGGUGGAAGUUGGGCCAUCCAUUACGUUAGCCAGUUUGGCUGAAGUUUUAGCUUUUUCUGUCAGUGCAAUCAAUCCAAUGCCUGCCACCAGAGCAUUUUCUAUGUUUGCCGCAAUGGCAGUUCUUCUGGAUUUCCUUCUCCAAGUGACAGCCUUCGUAGCCCUUAUUGUAUAUGAUUUUAGGAGGGCAGAAGAUGGCAGGAUUGAUUGUGUUCCUUGUGCAAGACUUAAAUCGAGCACUGUUGCUGGCGACAAUGGUGGCCACCAGCGGCUUCACUUUGUUGCACGCUAUAUGAAGGAUAUUCAUGGGCCAAUCCUCGGUUACCGACCAGUGAAGUUUAUCGUGAUUGCUGUAUUUGUUGGAUUAGCAUUUGCAAGCAUUGCAAUGUCAACUAGACUACAACCCGGAUUGGAGCAGAAAAUCGUUCUUCCACGAGAUUCGUAUUUACAGGGUUACUUUGACGACCUUGAGAAGUAUAUGAAAGUUGGACCGCCACUGUAUUUUGUUGUGAAGAACUUCAAUUACAGCUCUGCAUCGGAAAAUACUAAUCAGAUAUGUUCCAUCAACCAGUGUAAUUCAAACUCUCUUCUGAAUGAGAUAGCAAGACAAUCUUUAUCUCCUGAAACAAGUUACAUAGCAAAACCUGCUGCCUCAUGGCUUGAUGACUUCCUAAUAUGGAUGUCUCCCGAAGCAUUUGGAUGCUGUCGAAAAUUUGUUAAUGGAAAUUAUUGCCCUCCAGAUGAUCAGCCUCCUUGCUGUCAACUCGAUCAAGAUUCAGGUUCAUGCAGUUCAAAUGGAGCGUGCAAUAAUUGUACAACGUGUUUCCUACAUUCGGACUUACACAAUGGGCGUCCAUCCACAACGCAAUUUAAAGAGAAACUUCCAUGGUUUCUGGAUGCACUACCAUCAAGUGACUGUUCUAAAGGGGGAAAAGGAGCUUAUUCUACAAGUUUGGACCUCAGUGGUUAUGAAAAUGGCAAUAUACAAGCAUCAGCAUUCCGUACAUACCAUACUCCCCUUAAUAAACAGACUGACUAUGUUAACUCAUUGAGAGCUGCUCGGGACUUCAGUUCUCAAAUGUCCAAAGAUUUACAGAUGGAAAUUUUCCCAUAUUCAGUGUUCCAUAUAUUUUUUGAGCAAUACCUCAGCGUAUGGAAGACAGCCAUCAUGAAUAUAUGUGUUUGCCUUGGUGCAGUAUUUGUUGUUUGUUUAGUAGUCACCAGCAGUUUGUGGGCUUCAGCAAUCAUUUUGAUUGUUCUGGCCAUGAUAGUCUUGGAUCUGAUGGGAGUGAUGGCUGUCCUUGGAAUUCAGCUCAAUGCAAUAUCUAUUGUAAACCUUGUUAUGUCGAUAGGAAUUGCUGUUGAAUUCUGUGUUCAUAUCACACACGCCUUUAUGAUAGGCAUCGGGGAUAGAGAAAACCGUGUAAGGCAGGCUCUAUCGACGAUGGGUGCUUCUGUAUUCAGUGGAAUUACCUUGACCAAACUUGUAGGAGUUAUUGUCCUUCGUUUUGCAAAAUCUGAAGUUUUUGUGGUGUAUUACUUCCAAAUGUACCUGGCACUCGUCCUCAUUGGCUUUCUGCAUGGGCUUAUCUUCCUACCGGUUGUGUUGAGUCUGUGUGGCCCUCCUCAAAAAACCAUGAAACCGAUUGAACAAAGUCAGACUCCGCCUUCAAAUGAGCAAACUUGA